RNAcentral lists this ribosomal RNA (211 nucleotides) under uncultured bacterium. Its description in RNAcentral is "partial 16S ribosomal RNA". It matches the Rfam family "Bacterial small subunit ribosomal RNA", at positions 1289 to 1500 of the family's 1533-position model. The record is from RNAcentral.
CAGUUCAGAUUGCAGGCUGNAACCCGCCUGCAUGAAGUCGGAAUUGCUGUAAUCGCGGAUCAGCAUGCCGCGGUGAAUACGUUCCCGGGCCUUGUACACACCGCCCGUCACACCAUGAGAGUCGGGAACACCCGAAGUCCGUAGUCUAACCGCAAGGAGGGCGCGGCCGAAGGUGGGUCCGGUAAUUGGGGUGAAGUCGUAACAAGGUAUC